This 434-nucleotide ribosomal RNA is filed under the name uncultured bacterium. RNAcentral's name for it is "bacterial SSU rRNA". It matches the Rfam family "Bacterial small subunit ribosomal RNA", at positions 959 to 1392 of the family's 1533-position model. The record is from RNAcentral.
ACGCGAAGAACCUUACCCAGACUUGACAUGCAGAGGACGUGUUCAGAGAUGAGCAUUCCCUUCGGGGCCUUUGCACAGGUGCUGCAUGGCUGUCGUCAGCUCGUGCCGUGAGGUGUUGGGUUAAGUCCCGCAACGAGCGCAACCCUUAUUACUAGUUGCCAACACGUGAAGGUGGGAACUCUAGUGAGACUGCCUGGGUUAACCAGGAGGAAGGUGAGGAUGACGUCAAGUCCGCAUGGCCCUUAUGUCUGGGGCUACACACGUGCUACAAUGGUCGGUACAGAGGGCAGCCAAAUCGCAAGAUGGAGCAAAUCCCGAAAAGCCGAUCCCAGUUCAGAUUGUCGUCUGCAACUCGACGACAUGAAGUUGGAACUGCUAGUAAUGGCGGGUCAGCAACACCGCCGUGAAUACGUUCCCGGGUCUUGUACACACCG